Molecule: ribosomal RNA, 425 nt
Filed under: uncultured bacterium
Lineage: Bacteria
Description: bacterial SSU rRNA
Rfam family: Bacterial small subunit ribosomal RNA
Source: RNAcentral
GGACCCGCACAAGCGGUGGAGCAUGUGGUUUAAUUCGAUGCAACGCGAAGAACCUUACCAGGGUUUGACAUCCUGCGAAUCUCUUGGAAACAGGAGAGUGCCUUCGGGAACGCAGUGACAGGUGGUGCAUGGCUGUCGUCAGCUCGUGUCGUGAGAUGUUGGGUUAAGUCCCGCAACGAGCGCAACCCACGUCUUUAGUUGCCAGCAUUCAGUUGGGCACUCUAGAGAGACUGCCGGUGAUAAACCGGAGGAAGGUGUGGAUGACGUCAAGUCAUCAUGCCCCUUACAUCCUGGGCUACACACGUACUACAAUGCUACGGACAAAGAGCAGCAAGUUCGCGAGGACAAGCAAAUCUCAUAAACCGUGGCUCAGUUCAGAUCGUAGGCUGCAACUCGCCUACGUGAAGGCGAAUCGCUAGUAAUCG